This 431-nucleotide unclassified non-coding RNA is filed under the name Hevea brasiliensis (rubber tree). Lineage: Eukaryota; Viridiplantae; Streptophyta; Magnoliopsida; Malpighiales; Euphorbiaceae. The record is from RNAcentral.
CUAAAAUAACAAAACAGCUUUUCUAAAUGGCUUUUUUCAAUAGUAUCUAAAAUGAUUUUUUUUUUCCUAAAAACUAGUUUUUACCUUUUGACCACAAUGCCAAAUGAGCACUAAACCUCUUGUACUGGAAUAUUUGCUAGUGAAGUAGUCUACGAUUCGCAUGUCUUCACCAUCUCAAUCUCCCUUUUUUCAGUUUUUUCUCAAUAGGCACUGCUUUUACUUUCCUAUGGAUGUAUUUAUUCUGUAUAUAUGAUCCAUUCUUGUACUUCUAUGCAUCCAUAUUAGAAUCAUCAUUUCUAAAGCACUGAUCUUUUAUGCACAUUGUUUGUUCACCACCCAACCGACGUAUAUUGUAGCUGGUUGAUUUGCAGUCCUAUAAAACUUCCUUUGAACUUGGUGGGUGUUUUGCAAUCAUGUAAGAUUCUUGUCAC